UGGGGUGAAGUCGUAACAAGGUAGCCGUAGGGGAACCUGCGGCUGGAUCACCUCCUUUCUAAGGAUGGUUCUUCAGAAGCUUGCUUCUAUCGAACCGUUUUAGAAACAUCAGUGGCCAACGAUCGUCAGGAUUGUUGAGCUGCAUUGGCGGGAUUUCGCCGUCUUCGUUUCUCUUUCUUCGCGGACGAACACGCGCUGGGGCUGCAAGCUUGCAGAAUCCCUGGUCCUUGACUGGAUAUGCGUUAGGGGCUUGUAGCUCAGUUGGUUAGAGCGCGCGCUUGAUAAGCGUGAGGUCGGAAGUUCAAGUCUUCCCAGGCCCACCACACUCAUCGAGUGAGCAUUCGUCUUCUGGUUACGGGGCCAUAGCUCAGCUGGGAGAGCGCGUGCUUUGCAAGCAUGAGGUCGUCGGUUCGAUCCCGUCUGGCUCCACCAGAUGGUUUGAUCAUCGACUGAUCGUGCAUCUAAAUCGUCCGCGAAACAUCACUUCGCACUUACUAGUCCGGAUGGACAGUAAGCUGCGUGAUUUCUGACAUCGUAAAGAGGAGAUCGAUCCGAGUUGGAUCGGGCAACAAGCAAUUGUUGCGCGAUACUUCAUUAUCUCCGGAUCAUUUCGGCGCUCGUGCGUCUUUCAAUGUAGCUCACAAGGCUGCGUUUGAGAGACAUGCGAGUUGUAAAUGAUCCUUUUAGCGAAGCUUGACCGCCUCGCUAUCGGAACGAUCUUACGAAGCAAGCUGGUCUUUCUAAUCAUUGUCCGGCUGCAGAUAGCGUUCAUCGAGGGCGCGUGCCGCAAGGUAAUUCUGCAGACAACAUUCUGCCGAGUGUGUGGACAUUGAUAAUGAGAGCAAUCAAGUGCCUUAAGGGUGUUCGGUGGAUGCCUUGGCGCUGAGAGGCGAUGAAGGACGUGCUACGCUGCGAUAAGCCGUGGGGAGCUGCGAAGAAGCUUUGAUCCAUGGAUUUCC
Molecule: unclassified non-coding RNA, 959 nt
Filed under: Bradyrhizobium sp.
Lineage: Bacteria; Pseudomonadati; Pseudomonadota; Alphaproteobacteria; Hyphomicrobiales; Nitrobacteraceae
Description: partial contains 16S ribosomal RNA, 16S-23S ribosomal RNA intergenic spacer, and 23S ribosomal RNA
Rfam family: Bacterial large subunit ribosomal RNA (bases 844-959)
Source: RNAcentral